This 487-nucleotide long non-coding RNA is filed under the name Homo sapiens (human). RNAcentral describes it as "non-protein coding lnc-SERAC1-10:1". Lineage: Eukaryota; Metazoa; Chordata; Mammalia; Primates; Hominidae. The record is from RNAcentral.
CGGGCAUCACGGUCCUACCGACAUGUGAUGUCAUGCCCAGAGGCCCAGCUGUAAAAUUCCUCUCUUUAUACUGCUGCCUUUAUUUCUCAGCCGGCCAACACUUACGGAAAAUAGAACCUACAUUGAAAUUCCUGUUUCCACUCUGGCUGGAAAAGUAUAAUGUUGGUUCGAGAUCAAGAAGGAAUCUGGAUACCAUGUGCCAGACCAGUCAAAGAAUCCUGUGUCAAAACUGGGAGAACGAACAAGCCUUCAUCGCCAUGGCACAUUUAUAUAAAAAGAAAGGGAGAGAUGUUGCGGGAAGUCAGGGACCCCAAACGGAGGGACCGGCUGGAGCUGCGGCAGAGGAACAUAAAUUGUGAAGAUUUCAUUUUAAUAUGGACAUUUAUCAGUUCCCAAAUAAUACUUUUAUAAUUUUUUAUGCCUGUCUUUAAUCUCUUAAUCCUGUUAUCUUUGUAAGCUGAGGAUGUACGUCACCUCAGGACCACUG